Molecule: long non-coding RNA, 699 nt
Organism: Heterocephalus glaber (naked mole-rat)
Lineage: Eukaryota; Metazoa; Chordata; Mammalia; Rodentia; Bathyergidae
Source: Ensembl
CGGGAGUUCAGAAGACCAGGAGGCUGAUAGGAAUGUGAAUAGUAAAGACUGUGCUCAUGAAAUUUCAAAUGGGAACAAGAAUUCUAUUGAGAAUUUGACCAGAGGUCAUGCAUAUUACAUUCUGGCUCCCUUGCAAUUAGCUGUGGCUGUGUAACUGUUGUUGGCCAAUGAGAAGUGACCAGAAAUAAGAAGUACCAAGGUAGUUAAUACCUGGAAAGUAUUAUCCACCCUUCUUUUCCUGAUGAGAUGUUCUUGAAGGUUACAGUUUCUAGCUGGCAAGAAGACAUAGGACUACCUGACCUACAUCUGCGUUUUACACACUACAGUAUUAGACAAUUUUGGACAAUGACAGCUGGAAAUUGAUCACUGCCCCCAACUUUAAUUUUCCUUGCUAUUUUACAGGGUGAGACGAUUUAUGGGUUUCGAAAUCUUCCUGUUGCAAUUAGAAUCAUGAUAGUAGCACCAGAGUGGCACAUUUCGUAAUUUCCAGAAGGCAAUCAGUGUAGUUGGACCCAAGGCCCUCUUGAUAAUAACAGAGGCAAUGUGGUCAAGUUCAAAUAAAUGGGCUGGACCGUCUCCUAUGGUAUUUCCCAUAACUGGAGGCAAAAUAACGUGAAAUCUUCAUUCAGCUGGGAAAAGCGGUUGGCAGCUGUUUGGAAGAGAUGAACACUGGUUGAGCUCCGUUGUAAAUGUUCCUGG